Frankia sp. is the source of this 68-nucleotide non-coding RNA. The record is from Rfam. Lineage: Bacteria; Bacillati; Actinomycetota; Actinomycetes; Frankiales; Frankiaceae.
AGCGCCACCGGGUCGACGCCGCGGGUGACCAUCAGGUAGUCCCGCAUCGCGAUCGCGUGCCGGCCCUC